GCGUGUGUGUAGAGUGAGGUGAUUGUGGUGUGGUUUUGUGUUAAUAUGUUGGUUUCAGUCAUGUUGUGUUUGUGGUGUUAUGUAAUGUAUGUGUGUCUAGGUGCUGUAGAGAGUGUGUCUAUAGGGGACAUAGUGUGUAUAGGGGAUGUAGCAAAUGUGUGCAUACGGGCUGUAAAGUGUGUGUGUUUAGGGAAUGUAGUAUGGGUUUGCUUACAAGGAAUUUGGUGUGUGCAUGGGGAUUCAGAGUGUGUAUGUCAGAAAUGUAGUGUAUGUGUGUAGGUUGUACAGUAUGUGUGUGUAGGGGAUCCAUUGUCUGUUUGAAGGACCCAGGCUGUGUAUAGUAGAUCUAGUGUGUGUGUGUGUAGAAGAUUUAGAGUGUAUGUAGGGAUCUAGCGUGUGUAUAUGUGUAGAUGAUCCAGAGUUGGGUAAGGGAUCUAGUGUGUCUGGAAUAUAAUGUGUUUAGGGGUGCAGUAGGUGUGUGAGGCGUUCUGUAGUAUAU
This is a non-coding RNA of Pelobates cultripes (western spadefoot toad), 499 nucleotides long. The record is from the annotation of a GenBank genome assembly. Lineage: Eukaryota; Metazoa; Chordata; Amphibia; Anura; Pelobatidae.